AUAUUAACUCCGCCUGUAGCUCCUCCGGGGUCUACUGCCGAUUCAAAGUCCGGGUAAAGGAGGAGGGUUGU
RNAcentral lists this non-coding RNA (71 nucleotides) under Schistosoma mansoni. Lineage: Eukaryota; Metazoa; Platyhelminthes; Trematoda; Strigeidida; Schistosomatidae. The record is from RNAcentral.